GAUGAACGCUGGCGGCGUGCCUAAUACAUGCAAGUCGAGCGAACAGACGAGGAGCUUGCUCCUCUGACGUUAGCGGCGGACGGGUGAGUAACACGUGGAUAACCUACCUAUAAGACUGGGAUAACUUCGGGAAACCGGAGCUAAUACCGGAUAAUAUAUUGAACCGCAUGGUUCAAUAGUGACAGACGGUUUUGCUGUCACUUAUAGAUGGAUCCGCGCCGCAUUAGCUAGUUGGUAAGGUAACGGCUUACCAAGGCGACGAUGCGUAGCCGACCUGAGAGGGUGAUCGGCCACACUGGAACUGAGACACGGUCCAGACUCCUACGGGAGGCAGCAGUAGGGAAUCUUCCGCAAUGGGCGAAAGCCUGACGGAGCAACGCCGCGUGAGUGAUGAAGGUCUUCGGAUCGUAAAACUCUGUUAUUAGGGAAGAACAAAUGUGUAAGUAACUAUGCACGUCUUGACGGUACCUAAUCAGAAAGCCACGGCUAACUACGUG
RNAcentral lists this ribosomal RNA (497 nucleotides) under uncultured bacterium. RNAcentral describes it as "partial 16S ribosomal RNA". It matches the Rfam family "Bacterial small subunit ribosomal RNA", at positions 28 to 507 of the family's 1533-position model. The record is from RNAcentral.